GGACUGCUAAUGGGCUGCAGCUCAGUGGUUAGAGCAUCUCCUUUGCAUGCAGAAAGUCCUAGAUUCUAUUGCUGGCAGGUCCA
Non-coding RNA from Podarcis lilfordi (Lilford's wall lizard), 83 nucleotides. The record is from the annotation of a GenBank genome assembly. NCBI's taxonomy places the organism in Eukaryota, Metazoa, Chordata, Lepidosauria, Squamata, Lacertidae.